UACGGGGGGGGCAAGUGUCAUUCAUCUUUACUGGGCGUAAAGGGUGUGUAGAUGGAUAAGUUAAGUUUUAAAUAAAAAAUUAGUAAUUAAUAAGUAUUUAUCAUACUGAUUAUCUAGAGUUUAGUAUAAGAAGAUGGUACUCACAAAGUAGGGGUGGCAUUCGGAGAUAUUGAGGGGGACUAACAAAGAUUAAUGUAAUUUUCUAAUAUUAAACUGACAUUGAGGCACUAAAGCAUGGGGUUCAAAUAGA
This 250-nucleotide ribosomal RNA is filed under the name uncultured bacterium. RNAcentral describes it as "partial 16S ribosomal RNA". It matches the Rfam family "Bacterial small subunit ribosomal RNA", at positions 524 to 776 of the family's 1533-position model. The record is from RNAcentral.